CACAUUCUUUGUUUAGACUCGCCGAGACUAACAGCGGAUCACUUCGCUAGAGGCUAAUCGUUGGUCUCGGCAGACAGACAGCAGUCCACCUAUACACGUCCAUGGAAAGAAAGGGGUGGAGAAGGUAUUACACCAGUUAGUUGUCUCCAGUCCGCCCAUGAACCUGUAAGUUAGGCUCAUGACCCUUUGUGCGUUGCGGCACUUUUAUUCCUGGGAGGUUAUAAACCAACAAUCAGGCAUUUCUCGUUCAACGACCUGUCCGACCACACCAAGCCUCUCUCCCACUCUCAAAACCAAAGUUGUACACCGAGCAGAAGACAACUUUCUCUGACUGUUAACCUAUCCGCCAAAAUCUGAGUUGUGCUCUAAUUUCGCCAAGAAAUGUGAGAGGUAGAGUUGCUCGCGGUCCUUACUACCUCGGAGGUAGCGUUAUUUGCGGUCGGUAGCUACGGCCUGUAGAGAGGAGACAGGGUGAUAAGCAAGGGUCGGGGUGUUGGGUGAGCACAGCACGGGUGCCAGGAGUUCACGGCGGUCGUGGCUGGUUGUUGGACACAAACGCAAGUCGCACGGAAAGCGAGAGGGAGACCUGAGUUGGAGUGGGAGACGGGAGUUGUUUACGUAACCACCCUGGCGGGUCGCCACUUUCUGGCUGCGAGGCACAGACAGCGAAAAGGACAACAGCUGCGUCACUUCCAGCCUCAGCUUAUCAGGCGUUUGAGCGCUGGCUGCGUGAUCAAAGGGAGUCAGGUGAAUGUUUUAAUCACACGUGUGGCCAUCUCGCCAUCAGGGGGCACGUGCUGACAGGAAGAUGAUCCGAUAGGAGGAUCUGCCAGCAGGUGAGAGAGAAGCCGAGUGCCGUCUCUGCGAGAGGUAGGAAUCCCUGGAGGGUAGACACCCCACGGACUCACUUCAUCGAGACUGUGUUACCCAGUGCUCAACCACAGGGUGUCGUGGUGUCACCUGCUGUGCGAGUGCAUGCCUUCCACUUCCUGAAGACAGAUGGUUAUCGCUCAAAACGUCACGCCUUGUCGUCUCAUGACGUAAGAAACCUGAUCCCCUCGGUGAACGAUCUCCCUUCGAUCCUGUCCUCAACUCGCCAGGCUAACCUUUCCAAGGCCUUGAACUUUCAACCUGUUGUUCGUGCGCAGCGUGCAUGACGUUC
RNAcentral lists this long non-coding RNA (1162 nucleotides) under Pomacea canaliculata. RNAcentral's name for it is "uncharacterized LOC112565675, transcript variant X1". Lineage: Eukaryota; Metazoa; Mollusca; Gastropoda; Architaenioglossa; Ampullariidae. The record is from RNAcentral.